ACCUUCGUGAUGUAAUGGUCAACACGCUGGGCGCAUAUCCAGAGACCCGUGGUUCAAGUCCCGGCUAAAGUG
This 72-nucleotide transfer RNA is filed under the name Stegodyphus mimosarum. It matches the Rfam family "tRNA". Rfam says of the family: Transfer RNA (tRNA) molecules are approximately 80 nucleotides in length. Their secondary structure includes four short double-helical elements and three loops (D, anti-codon, and T loops). Lineage: Eukaryota; Metazoa; Arthropoda; Arachnida; Araneae; Eresidae. The record is from Rfam by way of RNAcentral.